UGACAGGGGUUAAAGUGGGAAAACCUUGGGGAAUUCCUCACUUGGUCUAUUUGCCAAAAUUACCCAAACCACUGCCAGGAAGAGAUUGGGUGGAAAAGUGUAGGCAGGUAUUAAAUUGACCAAUGGGGAGAUGAUUGAAAUUGUAAUUGCUGAAACUAACUGUGUGAGAGCAGCAGCUCUUCUCGUGCAGGAAAUAACUCCUGUCAGCAGCACCGUCCCGACUGGAGUGGCAGAUGGAGUUGUUCCUGUGGUGUGGGCCAGUGGAAUUCCAGGAGAAUGGACAAGGGCAGAACCUGAGCAAGGCAAGCCAAGAAACCUUUACUUUUUUUAAGGAGAAAAUCCAGAGAUGGGGAAGGAAGAAAAGAAGCCACCUGAGUCCUCCCUGAGCCACAGGCAGUCCAUGAAGUGCCUUCCUGGGAAUGGGAGGAUGGUGAGGACUCUGCAUUGCUCCCUCUGGAUGUGUGGAUGUGCCCUGCAGGAACUCCAGGAAUUGACGGUGACGCCUCGGCCGAUGGAUUGGACGCCCCAGCCCGUGCGUUCCUGCCCAGCCCUUGGGUCCCUGUCAAGUGGUGGGACUGCCAGCCCCUGCAGGGGGCUGUGGCAUGGAAACUGCAGAGAGCCAAGCCAGAGGAUUGAAAGGGACUCAUCCAGGGAGGUGAAGAAAGAAGGAAGAAGGGAAGUGAGGCAGCAGCCAAGCAGCACCAAGUUCCUCUGUCAGCAGGUGAGUUGUCUUGAGGUUCCUAAGGCAGGCCCUUGGGACUUUGGGGACUCCAGACAGAGAAGACCGUGGAAGCUCCUUGGAGAAGCCUCUCAGAAACCUUACAAGGUAGGUGUGUAUGGUAAUAAGUGUUGGAGAAUGCCCUGGAUAUAGAACUGGAAUGCAGGGAAUGGAAAAAGGCA
This is a long non-coding RNA of Myiozetetes cayanensis, 900 nucleotides long. RefSeq lists it as uncharacterized. The record is from RefSeq and is a predicted model, not a curated record. Lineage: Eukaryota; Metazoa; Chordata; Aves; Passeriformes; Tyrannidae. The transcript is spliced from 4 exons.